GUCCGCUUUGUUUAAAAUAACAAGAUUUUUAACAGACUGUUAUAAUUUGAUCGUAUAACAACAACAACAGCAAUUUGUAUUUGUCAUUCAAGACGUCCCGAGAAGCAGUACAAUUACAGUUUCAAUCGAAGUGUACAAAUAAUUUUAAUGAUUUUUGGAAAGAUUAGAACUUGUUCUAAAUCUUUACUUAGACAUUGCCCCCC
RNAcentral lists this long non-coding RNA (203 nucleotides) under Mytilus galloprovincialis (Mediterranean mussel). Lineage: Eukaryota; Metazoa; Mollusca; Bivalvia; Mytilida; Mytilidae. The record is from RNAcentral.